This 488-nucleotide ribosomal RNA is filed under the name uncultured bacterium. Its description in RNAcentral is "bacterial SSU rRNA". It matches the Rfam family "Bacterial small subunit ribosomal RNA", at positions 28 to 514 of the family's 1533-position model. The record is from RNAcentral.
GAUGAACGCUAGCGGCAGGCUUAAUACAUGCAAGUCGAGGGGCAGCACGAAUAGCAAUAUUUGGUGGCGACCGGCGCACGGGUGCGUAACACGUAUACAACCUACCUAUAACAGGGGGAUAGCCUUUCGAAAGAGAGAUUAAUACCCCGUAAUAAAUUGAGUGGCAUCACUUGAUUUUGAAAGCUACGGCGGUUAUAGAUGGGUAUGCGUCUGAUUAGCUAGUUGGUGAGGUAACGGCUCACCAAGGCGACGAUCAGUAGGGGAUCUGAGAGGACUAACCCCCANACUGGUACUGAGACACGGACCAGACCCCUAGGGAGCAGCAGUAAGGAAUAUUGGUCAAUGGAGGCAACUCUGAACCAGCCAUGCCGCGUGCAGGAUGACGGCCCUAUGGGUUGUAAACUGCUUUUGUACCAGAGAAAACCUACUCACGUGUGAGUAGCUGAUAGUAUGGUAAGAAUAAGCAUCGGCUAACUUCGUGCCAGCAG